RNAcentral lists this ribosomal RNA (458 nucleotides) under uncultured bacterium. RNAcentral describes it as "partial 16S ribosomal RNA". It matches the Rfam family "Bacterial small subunit ribosomal RNA", at positions 338 to 795 of the family's 1533-position model. The record is from RNAcentral.
CCUACGGGUGGCAGCAGUGGGGAAUAUUGCGCAAUGGGCGAAAGCCUGACGCAGCGACGCCGCGUGAGGGAUGAAGGUCUUCGGAUCGUAAACCUCUUUUGUCAGGGAGCAAAGUCACCCACGGGUGGGGGUUGUAGAGUACCUGAAGAAAAAGCAUCGGCUAACUCCGUGCCAGCAGCCGCGGUAAUACGGGGGAUGCGAGCGUUAUCCGGAUUUAUUGGGUUUAAAGGGUGCGUAGGCGGGUUAUCAAGUCAGCGGUAAAAUCGUGGAGCUCAACUCCAUCCAGCCGUUGAAACUGAUGAUCUUGAGUGGGCGAGAAGUAUGCGGAAUGCGUGGUGUAGCGGUGAAAUGCAUAGAUAUCACGCAGAACUCCGAUUGCGAAGGCAGCAUACCGGAGCCCGACUGACGCUGAAGCACGAAAGCGUGGGUAUCGAACAGGAUUAGAUACCCUUGUAGUC